UAGGGAAUCUUCCGCAAUGGGCGAAAGCCUGACGGAGCAACGCCGCGUGAGUGAUGAAGGUCUUCGGAUCGUAAAACUCUGUUAUUAGGGAAGAACAAAUGUGUAAGUAACUAUGCACGUCUUGACGGUACCUAAUCAGAAAGCCACGGCUAACUACGUGCCAGCAGCCGCGGUAAUACGUAGGUGGCAAGCGUUAUCCGGAAUUAUUGGGCGUAAAGCGCGCGUAGGCGGUGUUUUAAGUCUGAUGUGAAAGCCCACGGCUCAACCGUGGAGGGUCAGUGGAAACUGGAAAACUUGAGUGCAGAAGAGGAGGGUGGAAUUCCAGGUGGAGCGGUGAAAUGCGCAGAGGAAUGGAGGAACAACACUGGCGAAGGCGACUUUCUGGUCUGUAACUGACGCUGAUGUGCGAAGGAGGGGGGAUCAAACAGG
Molecule: ribosomal RNA, 429 nt
Filed under: Actinomycetes bacterium
Lineage: Bacteria; Bacillati; Actinomycetota; Actinomycetes
Description: Actinobacteria bacterium partial 16S ribosomal RNA
Rfam family: Bacterial small subunit ribosomal RNA
Source: RNAcentral